UCCGUUGUAAUCUAAUUGGUUAGUAUACUUGGCUCUCACCAGAGAGACCCGGGUCCAAAUCCCGGCAACGGAA
RNAcentral lists this transfer RNA (73 nucleotides) under Ipomoea nil (Japanese morning glory). It matches the Rfam family "tRNA". From Rfam's summary of the family: Transfer RNA (tRNA) molecules are approximately 80 nucleotides in length. Their secondary structure includes four short double-helical elements and three loops (D, anti-codon, and T loops). Lineage: Eukaryota; Viridiplantae; Streptophyta; Magnoliopsida; Solanales; Convolvulaceae. The record is from Rfam by way of RNAcentral.